GAAAAGGACUCAAAAUGCAGAAGGAGAAAGAGGAUGCUGAGUUCGCAGCAAACGCACAGCUGCCAAAGAGACCACAGGAUACGGUGUGACUCGGAGUGGUGGAAGCUGCGGCGUUCGGCAGCCAUGUCCCAGCUGGUGGAGAGAGGUUGUCGAAAUUUGCCAACGGCAGCUCAGACGAUCCCCAACAGCUGCGUUUCCCAGGUGCCUGGAUCGGCCAAGUGAAGCCAAUGGGAGGCACUGGAGGAGAAGCCAGGUGCUCCCUCCUCCCCUUCGGGCUACCUCUCUGGUGGCCUCUUGUCUCCUCCAUGGUCCCAGCUUCCUCCAGCCAGGCCUCCGUGUUCUGGAAUCCUCCCUGACCCUGGGUCCUGCACGUCCUCCUCCUGUCCGCUCACUUGCAGAACUGGGGGCAGCUUCCUGCAGUUGCUGAGCUCAAGGUCACCCCCAGCUCUGUUAAGCUUCCCAGCCACUCUCUGGACUGCAGAACCAACUCCCUGCCUUCAAUUCCUUCCGUUGAAAUGCUCAGAGGGGCGCCUGUUUCCUGGCCUGGACCCCGAUUGCCACGUGGACCCACGGGGAGGUUCUCGGCCCCUUAAGGCAGUGGGGAAGGGCUGCCUGGGGUCUCCACCUCUCUACCCGGAGGGCUGCAGCCAGGCUUUCAUCUCUCUCCGUCGCCCCCUCCCUGGCUCUUCCUCUCCCGUGCUUUUCUCCUCCCUCGGCUGCGUCUUGCAUCCUCCCCUUGGAUUCACGCCGAGGUCAGUCCUCCAUGGGUGGCUCUUCGAGAGAGAACAUCCAGCUCUGGGAAUUACGGGAACCUUUACUCACACUUGAAAGCCCAGCUUGCAAGACCACUGUCUCACCCGGGACUUAAAAAAAACCUCAAGAAAGUUAUUU
This 891-nucleotide long non-coding RNA is filed under the name Equus caballus (horse). Its description in RNAcentral is "lncRNA (ENSECAG00000047867.1)". The record is from RNAcentral. Lineage: Eukaryota; Metazoa; Chordata; Mammalia; Perissodactyla; Equidae.